RNAcentral lists this ribosomal RNA (156 nucleotides) under uncultured fungus. RNAcentral describes it as "5.8S ribosomal RNA". It matches the Rfam family "5.8S ribosomal RNA". From Rfam's summary of the family: 5.8S ribosomal RNA (5.8S rRNA) is a component of the large subunit of the eukaryotic ribosome. It is transcribed by RNA polymerase I as part of the 45S precursor that also contains 18S and 28S rRNA. Functionally, it is thought that 5.8S rRNA may be involved in ribosome translocation. Lineage: Eukaryota; Fungi. The record is from RNAcentral.
AACUUUCAACAACGGAUCUCUUGGUUCUGGCAUCGAUGAAGAACACAGCGAAAUGCGAUAAGUAAUGUGAAUUGCAGAAUUCAGUGAAUCAUCGAAUCUUUGAACGCACAUUGCGCCCGCCAGUAUCCUGGCGGGCAUGCCUGUUCGAGCGUCAUU